RNAcentral lists this unclassified non-coding RNA (1117 nucleotides) under Leishmania donovani. RNAcentral describes it as "gene:unknown". Lineage: Eukaryota; Euglenozoa; Kinetoplastea; Trypanosomatida; Trypanosomatidae. The record is from RNAcentral.
GCACGCGCUUCGUGCUCAGGUGUUCUUUUAGUCUGUGGCGUUGACACCUCUCCUCCCCAAUCACAACUCCGUGUCAUCUCUCGGAGGAAGGAUGCGGCGCAUCCAACCUCUCCGGGCUGUUUUCUCACCCCGCACCGAGCAGGUUCCCGAAGCUCCAUCCUGGCUGCCUUGAUCAGCGCUGCCUCGCGCACAAAAACGCGGUCCUUCUACGUAUUCUUCGUGGAGUAGGCAUAGCCGCCGCCCUUCAUGCCACCACCACAUUACGACCCUCACGGAAGCGCACGCGUCCACGCAAUAUCACCUGUAUGCGAUGUGGCUGUCAUCAGACCCUUACUCAUUGCUCUCUCCGACUUUUUUCGUGUGUAUCAACGCAACGCUCCUCAUACCGCCGCUCUUGUUCCUGUUUCUAGCCCUGCUGUCCUUUUCUUUAUUUUCUCCGACGCCCUGAUGAAGGCGGGGAGGCGGGGGUGGGGGAAGGGCGCACACCUCCGUGCGUGGCAUCUCAGGGUCCAGUAAAGCCACUCUGUAUGGGAAGAAGCCAAGCAGCUCCUCCCUCAGUCCUGCCAAAUGCCAGAGCCACUUGUGGUGGUAACUAGCUCAGGUGCCUACUACGGAGCGUAGUCAGAGCGACGUAUUGCUACUCGUGUCGGCGGUCGGGUCCUGGAUGGCGUUGCGUCGGGGCGACCGGCAUAAUGGGCACGGCCGUGAGGCAGGGGUGGGUGGGUAGAGCUUGAGACAGGAGCCCUGCUCGCAUAACUGAGCCUGCAUUGCUGUGGCGCCUGUCUCUACGGCUGCUUCGCGCCAGGCGAUGGGGCCUCGUGGCGGGCCAGGGACUACAGUGGCGCUCGAAUCCUGUUGUACGGCCGAGAAACGGACACGUUGAAGGCAAGACAGCGAGUUAUUCCUACAUGUGCCCUCCUCCACCGUUCGGAUAUACAUGCACCUAAACGCACGCGGGCAGUUCUCUCCUUUUCCGCUCUGCCUCCUACUUGGGUGCCCCACCUCCACCUCCACCAUUCUCAUCAUCUCUCUCACUCUUGAUCCAUCCGGGGCGAUCUCUCCCCCACCCCUCCCUCUCCUUUCCUCCGCUUGCCUCUCCGCUGGAUUGCAUCACAAG